This 438-nucleotide ribosomal RNA is filed under the name Triticum aestivum (bread wheat). RNAcentral's name for it is "partial small subunit ribosomal RNA". Lineage: Eukaryota; Viridiplantae; Streptophyta; Magnoliopsida; Poales; Poaceae. The record is from RNAcentral.
AUGACUAGGGAUAACCUUAGGAAGAGACACAUCAUCAAACCCCUUGAUUGUGUUUACUGCUUGGAACAAGAGUCUGGUUCCCACCUAUUUUUUGAAUGUAUAGUUGCUAAACAUCUCUGGGCCCACAUUGAGGAAUAUUUCUCUAGUCAGAUUGGCUCAUCCUUCGAAUCUGUCGCCAGAUUCUGGAUUGCUACCAAAAAGUGAUCAGUUUUAAACACUGUUAUCUUAGCUGUCCUUUGGUGCUCCUGGAAAUAUAGAAAUGCUAUGAUUUUCAGUAACACCUCCUGGAUUUCCAUUCCGCAGGUCUUGAGGUUGAUCAGGAACAUGGUGAGGAACUGGGUGAUUGUCUCCUCCGGAUCGGACAAGGACAAGUUGACGAGCUUCGUGGAAACCCUAACAAGAUCCCUCCAGAAACCGUUGGGGAUCACUUGUGGCUGA